This 253-nucleotide ribosomal RNA is filed under the name uncultured bacterium. Its description in RNAcentral is "partial 16S ribosomal RNA". It matches the Rfam family "Bacterial small subunit ribosomal RNA", at positions 524 to 776 of the family's 1533-position model. The record is from RNAcentral.
UACGUAGGGUGCAAGCGUUGUCCGGAAUUAUUGGGCGUAAAGAGCUCGUAGGCGGUCUGUCGCGUCGGCUGUGAAAACCCGGAGCUCAACUCCGGGCCUGCAGUCGAUACGGGCAAACUGGAGUGUUGCAGGGGAGACUGGAAUUCCUGGUGUAGCGGUGAAAUGCGCAGAUAUCAGGAGGAACACCAAUAGCGAAGGCAGCUCGCUGGGACGAUACUGACGCUGAGGCGCGAAAGCGUGGGGAGCGAACAGG